Zingiber officinale is the source of this 668-nucleotide long non-coding RNA. RefSeq lists it as uncharacterized. Lineage: Eukaryota; Viridiplantae; Streptophyta; Magnoliopsida; Zingiberales; Zingiberaceae. The record is from RefSeq and is a predicted model, not a curated record. The transcript has 4 exons.
CCCCAACUCCCCCGACGCCGUUUCCUCUGCUUCUUCUCCCCGAAACCGCUCGCGCCUCUCCUUGCCCUAACCUCCUCUGCGCCGAUACCAGCCGCCUCCUCCUCUUCUCCGAGGCCGAAGCCUUUUUCCCUCUGCCCCUUUCCAGCGCCGCCGACCCGAGUAGCACCGCCGCAAACCGUGCCCUAGCCGCCGGCGACGUAUGGAGCAGCGCCGAUAGCCAGUGCCCUAGCCUCAGCCCGGGACACCCGACUCCAGCGACGCCACUUCCUUGCCUUUGCCGCCGGUGACGAGAGCCACCGCCGACCCCCUGUCGCCCUAGCCGUGGAGAUACCGAGCACUGGCCGAUCGCCUCUGCCCUAGCCACCUCGCGCCGCCACCACUGCCGACGCCGACCCUCUCCUUGCUGCCACUCUAGGUCACGGAUUGUCAAGGAUGCAAUUGUGAUCGUGAGGUGCAUUAGAACUUGCUGUGGGGUUGUGCUGUGGUUGGACAGCCACUCCUUUCGGUAUCUACUGGCUUCUGCAACGGGUGUCAACCUAGCAAUUUAUCUGUGCUGGCUGUAAACAAUCCUAAUUGGGCAACAACUUUAUGACUUCCAGCAGCGGUUGAUUUGAGGACUUUGACGCGAGACGAGUAUCUCGGAGUCAGAUUGGACCUUUCUAUUUUUU